CAGAGGCCACCUAUUGGACGAUUCACAUCGUUACGUACCUGUAAUCAUCCCUCAACGGGUCCUCCAUCCACUUUUAGGCGCGUCAGAAGACCCUCUUACCAAUGCGGAGCGCAGGAGAUGAGGACCGCUAGUUUAGAAUUUUAUUGUGAACGAUAAACCCCCCAAGACCAUCACGAUAUCUGCACCUAUCUUAUAUCCGGUUAACCAGACGCAAACAACAAACUCUCGACGAAACAGCUUCCAUUUCCGUUUUAUAUACGUCUAUAUACCACCGCGGGAAAGCAAAGGCUGAUCGUGACGUCGCGUCGGAAUGUCUGCGGAAAACCUCUGCGUCGCAGUUUCCUGGAUAAUGCCGGAAAAUUGAAGCAAUUUUCAAAGACACGAUCCUGCAGAACGAUUCCAGAAGGAUCUUAUGUCCUUAUUUGCUGCGAAACGUAUGUGUGUCGAAUUCGUGUAUUAAUAAAAUUACGUUCCUCUACGCCCGGUGGCUGCUUGACAAACCAUA
Athalia rosae (coleseed sawfly) is the source of this 505-nucleotide long non-coding RNA. RefSeq lists it as uncharacterized. Lineage: Eukaryota; Metazoa; Arthropoda; Insecta; Hymenoptera; Athaliidae. The record is from RefSeq and is a predicted model, not a curated record. The transcript has 3 exons.